RNAcentral lists this ribosomal RNA (1090 nucleotides) under Escherichia coli. RNAcentral describes it as "partial 23S ribosomal RNA". It matches the Rfam family "Bacterial large subunit ribosomal RNA", at positions 165 to 1293 of the family's 2925-position model. The record is from RNAcentral. Lineage: Bacteria; Pseudomonadati; Pseudomonadota; Gammaproteobacteria; Enterobacterales; Enterobacteriaceae.
CAUAGGUUAAUGAGGCGAACCGGGGGAACUGAAACAUCUAAGUACCCCGAGGAAAAGAAAUCAACCGAGAUUCCCCCAGUAGCGGCGAGCGAACGGGGAGCAGCCCAGAGCCUGAAUCAGUGUGUGUGUUAGUGGAAGCGUCUGGAAAGGCGCGCGAUACAGGGUGACAGCCCCGUACACAAAAAUGCACAUACUGUGAGCUCGAUGAGUAGGGCGGGACACGUGGUAUCCUGUCUGAAUAUGGGGGGACCAUCCUCCAAGGCUAAAUACUCCUGACUGACCGAUAGUGAACCAGUACCGUGAGGGAAAGGCGAAAAGAACCCCGGCGAGGGGAGUGAAAAAGAACCUGAAACCGUGUACGUACAAGCAGUGGGAGCACGCUUAGGCGUGUGACUGCGUACCUUUUGUAUAAUGGGUCAGCGACUUAUAUUCUGUAGCAAGGUUAACCGAAUAGGGGAGCCGAAGGGAAACCGAGUCUUAACUGGGCGUUAAGUUGCAGGGUAUAGACCCGAAACCCGGUGAUCUAGCCAUGGGCAGGUUGAAGGUUGGGUAACACUAACUGGAGGACCGAACCGACUAAUGUUGAAAAAUUAGCGGAUGACUUGUGGCUGGGGGUGAAAGGCCAAUCAAACCGGGAGAUAGCUGGUUCUCCCCGAAAGCUAUUUAGGUAGCGCCUCGUGAAUUCAUCUCCGGGGGUAGAGCACUGUUUCGGCAAGGGGGUCAUCCCGACUUACCAACCCGAUGCAAACUGCGAAUACCGGAGAAUGUUAUCACGGGAGACACACGGCGGGUGCUAACGUCCGUCGUGAAGAGGGAAACAACCCAGACCGCCAGCUAAGGUCCCAAAGUCAUGGUUAAGUGGGAAACGAUGUGGGAAGGCCCAGACAGCCAGGAUGUUGGCUUAGAAGCAGCCAUCAUUUAAAGAAAGCGUAAUAGCUCACUGGUCGAGUCGGCCUGCGCGGAAGAUGUAACGGGGCUAAACCAUGCACCGAAGCUGCGGCAGCGACGCUGAUGCGUUGUUGGGUAGGGGAGCGUUCUGUAAGCCUGUGAAGGUGUGCUGUGAGGCAUGCUGGAGGUAUCAGAAGUGCGA